AUUGAACGCUGGCGGCGUGCCUAACACAUGCAAGUCGAGCGGUAACAGGCGUAGCAAUACGUGCUGACGAGCGGCGAACGGGUGAGUAAUGCUUCGGAAUCUGCCCAAUGGUGGGGAAUAACCAGCCGAAAGGUUGGCUAAUACCGCAUGAGCCCUACGGGGGAAAGCAGGGGAUCGUAAGACCUUGCGCCGAUGGAUGA
This 200-nucleotide ribosomal RNA is filed under the name uncultured bacterium. RNAcentral's name for it is "partial 16S ribosomal RNA". It matches the Rfam family "Bacterial small subunit ribosomal RNA", at positions 30 to 228 of the family's 1533-position model. The record is from RNAcentral.